RNAcentral lists this transfer RNA (73 nucleotides) under Thelohanellus kitauei. RNAcentral describes it as "tRNA-Val for anticodon UAC". It matches the Rfam family "tRNA". From Rfam's summary of the family: Transfer RNA (tRNA) molecules are approximately 80 nucleotides in length. Lineage: Eukaryota; Metazoa; Cnidaria; Myxozoa; Bivalvulida; Myxobolidae. The record is from Rfam by way of RNAcentral.
GUCCGCAUAGUGUAGUGGUUAUCACGUGCGCUUUACACGCGCAAGGUCCUCGGUUCGAACCCGAGUGCGGACA